UACGUAGGUGGCAAGCGUUGUCCGGAAUUACUGGGUGUAAAGGGAGCGCAGGCGGGAAGCCAAGUCAGCUGUGAAAACUACGGGCUUAACUUGUAGACUGCAGUUGAAACUGGUUUUCUUGAGUGAAGCAGAGGUUGGCGGAAUUCCGAGUGUAGCGGUGAAAUGCGUAGAUAUUCGGAGGAACACCGGUGGCGAAGGCGGCCAACUGGGCUUUAACUGACGCUGAGGCUCGAAAGUGUGGGGAGCAAACAGG
Molecule: ribosomal RNA, 253 nt
Filed under: uncultured bacterium
Lineage: Bacteria
Description: partial 16S ribosomal RNA
Rfam family: Bacterial small subunit ribosomal RNA
Source: RNAcentral